Molecule: long non-coding RNA, 7205 nt
Organism: Haplochromis burtoni (Burton's mouthbrooder)
Lineage: Eukaryota; Metazoa; Chordata; Actinopteri; Cichliformes; Cichlidae
Exons: 2
Source: RefSeq, a predicted model, not a curated record
AAAAAAUUGCAUUAUGUUAUUGUCCCACCCCUCACCCCGCCCCCUUCCCCUCUUCCCAAAGCUUUGAUUGUACUACCCCAGCAGAAGCACUUAAUGUUCUAUUUAAAUAUAAUGGAUUUCAACAAGCCCCUAGACAGUUGAAUUGACAGUCGGUGAGGGGCGUUCCCCGCGCCCGAUUAAAUCAUUAUGACACAUAGAUCUACAUUUAAAGGUAGAGAUCUAUUUGAGAGACGUCAGAAUGUGAACAGAGUGGUUUCAGACAAAGAAGCACUUUGUUUUAAAAAAUGUUAAACCACACUGGACAGUCCUCUAACAGUUGAUAUAGAAAUGACAACCUCUCUGAGGCACCUUCUUCAGUUAAAGGCCAAAAACGUAGGAAUGGAAACUGUCCAGUAAAAGAUGGAAAUGAGCGGUGAGGUUUUUGGGCGACUGCUGCCAGGCAGAGUUCCCCUCAGACUGCCCUCAUACAUUCACUUUGCUAUGAAGCUAAAAGGAGUCUUGAUCGUCCACGUCGAGGAGAUCCUGGGAAUCAUUUCAGAUUUCUUAAAAACUAUUUCCAAAGUGUAUUUUCAUAAGACACAUGUGAUAUAAAAGGGGCGUGGCAGCAAAGCCUCAAAAGAUUGAGCAGCUGUUGUCAUUACGAAUGCCCGACACUGAGAGCCGCUGCUCGGCGAAGCUCCGGUGUGUCACUUUAGACCAGCAGGAAGCACUUCCCUGCCCCUGAAGCGCCUCAGCCGAGCGUGGCGCGAGCCUUCACUGGCUGGACCGCAUCGUCACUUGACAGGGGAGAGGGAGGCCUCGUGGCGGACCCCCGAGCGUGCCGCUCACAAUCUGAGACUUCUAGGAAAUGUUUUAUUAGAGCAUUUAUGUUUGUAGAGAAUGAAAUGUGUCCCCCACCUCCACACACACACAGUAACGUCUCAUCUGACAAAGGAAAUACAAGCAUGUACCUUCUUAACGAUUAGCUGUAGCACAACUGCAAACGUCAAAGCAGUAGAGCGACAGAUACUGCCUGAGAGAUGCUGGCCAUGGUCGUUGUAAUCUCUCUAAAACGUACGUAGAGAGGCUGAAAUAAACUCGUCACAUGGAAAAAAGGGCAAGUCAGCAAAGAAGCACCUUAUUUUCUUACUACAUUGAUGACUUGCGCUUCAUCGUGUGCCACAAAAUUUAACACGGAAGAAAAAAGCUCCUAUGAAAUGCUUUUUUUUUUGCUUUUUUUUCUCGUUUCUUUUUUGUUUUUUGAAGGAAACAGAAGACCCUGACUAUAUAUAUAAAUAUAUAUAAGUAAGUGUUAAUGUAGUCGCGUCAGACAUCCCCUCUGUUAUGAACUCAGCCAUUUACAGUGACACGCUGACAGUCGACCCAGCCGUGAGCGUAGGCCCGCCGAGGCCACGCCGCCGCCUCUUACACCAACACCAAAUGAAAUCAAAAAAAGGUUCGGACUAGUUAGCCGUUAAUGGGUAGGGAUCUACGAGCACUUUAGGUGUUCUUAGGUUGAGAGUAGGUAAACAGUGUCGGGGCUUAACACAGGACUGUAAAACAGACACCAAGACUAGGCUAGAGAAUAUAGCUCCACUGGCCGAAAUACUAAGUCUAGAAUUACUAGGAGUCAUAUACUUAACUGCUUUCAACUUUUGACAUUACUACAAAUACGUGUAUUACAGCAGUACAUUGUUAGAAGAUGGCUUUUCUGCAGCGAUCCAGAGUGUGACCUGGUAUUUGAUGCCCUCUCUCGAUUCGCUCGCCAGAUAACAGUUACACACACACACACACACACACGUUCACAAUACAUAAACACACACACAGAGGAAUCAGUUGAUUUGUUACCAGCGGCAUUCUCUCUGCUUUCGUGCUGAAGUGAUUUCUUUUCGUGCAGUUUCAGUUCCCAGUGGAGUGGUCGUCAGUUCAUCGGAGAUCUUUUUUGGUAACACUUUCUACUGACCGCGAGGAGGAAGAAAAAAAUAAAUAAAUCCCACAUUCACGUUCAAGUUUUUGCUGCAUGGACACAGAUUGGAGAAACACGCGCACACUGACACAUUUUUAGAAUACACGCACAUAAUAAACACACGGAUAUAUAGAUGUUAAAUCCUGAGUUACACAGUAGGUAGUUUGGAAAAAAAAAGAAAAAAAAAGUCAACACAACACAUGAUGUAGUGUCCCUCUUUUGUCCUCGUCUGUUUUAGUUUGAUAGGUAUUUGAUCAGUGAUUUUUAUGCUUGUUAUCCUCUAACCCGCCCCUGCUAUGACACUUCUUCUCGCUGUUCAUCCAUUUAUUCUUUUCUCCCACCCUCAAAUUUUUCCUCGGCCUCCUUGUAGAGUACUUACAUCCACGAAAACACACACACAGACACAUACACACAUAAAUCAAGCCCACUGCAGACACGCACACAGAUAUCCUCCACACAGGUUAAUCCCACCCCUGUCCUCCUCCCACUGUAUCAGUUUCCUUUCACCUCCUUCUCUGCUGCUCCGUUAGCCCCUUUAGGACCGUUUCUAUUGGCCGUUUUUAUUUUUUCUCUUUUUCUCUUCGGGCUGCCCCGCCCCCUUAAUCAACCCAACUAACAGUAAAGGUUAUAUUAACGUUGAUAAUCAGUUUCUGUAUGUAUCUAGCCAGAGUGGAUUUAAAAAAAAUCUGAAAAAAAAAAAUCAAAACUGUUUUAUUCAAUUGUGCAAAAUGUGUUUUUUCUUACUAUUUUUAAUGUUAUUACAUCUUCUAAUCUAAUCCUUCUACCAUCGCUUCAGUUAGUACUGAAAUACGCUUAGCCAACCUAGAGAUUUGAACUGUAACGAUCGCCAUUUUCCUUACCUGUAUUUUAUAUGGCAUCUGUAGACCACUUCACCGUUUUAUUAUUGUACGUAAGUAAAUAUUGCCCGUUUUUUCGGAUUGAAAAUCGUCGUCUGCACUAUGUUCGAUUCUCAUAUUAUCCCCGAUAACGAGUUUUCGCUCUUCGUCGUUAAUCAAAGCUCAACUCUGCGCCCUUGCACAAAGCAGCGAAAUAUCUCUUGUGAACACCUGAGAACCAAAGUACACCUAGUAUCCCCGUCUAUCCCUCCGCCCCCCCAAAAACAAGCUCCUCUAUAGCCCCUCCCCCUGCCCAACAUUGACAGCUCCCCGCCCCUCCACCCUGAGUAAUAAGUUUCUGAUGAUUAUAUGUAUAAUGACAUUGCAGCACGUGUGAUUUAUCCGACAGAUCUGUGAGGUAACGGUGUGGUGUUUCAUUUUUAUUUUUGUUGUUUUUCAUACUGUGGUUUUUGUGGAGAUGCAGACGGACCGGGCGGCGAGUGAGCGUCUCAUCAAAAUCUCCCGCUCGCUCCUCAUGGUGAAGUUUUAGGCGGUGUGAACUGCUCCACUUGCUCCUAUCACAUCAAAUUAUUACAAGUAACCACACACGGGAAGAAGGAACGACACCUGACAAAUAUGUUCUCUGUCACGCCGAGCUUCUUGGCACCCUCUAUUGCUUUUUUUUUUUCUUCUUCUUCUUCAAAACAUUGUCUUUUAGCUCCCAGGACUUGAGCUGAGCGGGUCUUUUCAUGCUGUACGUGGGCACUGAGGCGGAGGAAAGAGAGACAGUUUUCCUCACAGUGCGAAUCUGAGAUUGAUCGACCAUCCAGGAGGUUUAUUCACAUCAAGGAAAUAAACAUUUUAGCCAUGAGGAUCUGCUUUCAGAGCUUUCGGGCUUCUCAUACAAAAUAAUUUGAUAGAAUCUCAUAGUUUUGUGGACUUGAACUUGCGAUUUUAAUUAUGCCGUUUUGCUGCUGCAAGAUGAGCAAUUUUCUGUCACUUACUAAAAAUCAGAAUGCAUAUUUGGUAGUUGUAGGGCCGAUCUCUUGGUGGAAAUUAGUGUUUUAUUCUGACAUUUGUACGUUUAAACCAUAACAAGCUAAUUGAUGUUAGUCUCAUCGAGCUGCAGAAAAUACAGCUACUUCCUGGCACAUUUUAGUGCAAUCAUUAAGUCGUAUUUAAAGGAAUUGUUAGCUGCAUCAUUGACUUCAUGAUCGGAUAUGAUUUAGGCCAAAUAUAUAAAUUUUAGACAGUUGGUCUGACAAAAAUAAGAGAUUUUAAGAUGCUGUCUGUUACUUUUGACAUCAGUAGUGAAAAUCAUUGCAAGUUGCAGACUUUGUUAGUUAAUCCCAGUCCAUAGUCAACAUCCUGUUUUUAUAGUGAAAAAAAAUUAUUUUCCAUCUUAGUUAGGGCAUUUAUUGGUUUAGAGGCUUUUGUUCAAAUAAAAAGAAGCAAUUUUAAGACAUUUUCUCUGCUAAAAGCGGUUUUACUUUGAAGGAAUCAAUAAAGCAAGCCUUAGCUGCAGUCCUAGUUAACAAAUUCCAAUCCAUGGCUUACAUCUCGCUUUGAUCAUCAUAAAAUUUUAUUUCUAGUUUCUGAUUUAAAUCAGGAGGUUUAAACCGUCUCAGCUGAAGCGCUGUGAGGAAAAUUCUUGCUCUCUGACUGAAAUGAUAGUAUUUGUGUCAUAAAGCUGGUUAAAAGUAACCCCCCACCUCUCUGCCCACGAAAACGGGAGCAUCCUCUGAAGAGAAGCAAAAGCCCCAGAACAGGAGUGUGUGCGUGUAUUAUUGUAGAAAUGAAACAGUAUUAUCUUCUGUCAUACAGAAAGGAGUCAUCGGUUGGGUUGUAUCUGUCCAGGAAAUCUCACAGCAUUCUUGUCCGGUUUGAAUAAGGGUCCCUAAUUUCUGUCUCUCUCUACACUGCCACUCUCCCCCCCUCAACAGCCCCCCAGAAGGUUCAGAAUAACCUGUCCCCCCCCUUCCACCUCCCUCCCUUCGUGGCCAAGUCCCCGUCAAGUUGGGGGCCGUUUCACAUCACAUCGGUCAACGCAUCAGUACCCAGAACCACCCAAAAACUACCUGUGCAGCGAAAAAAGGGUUAAAAUUUAUCCAUAAUAUUAUUGUUAUAGAAAUAUUAUCAUCAUCAUUAUUGCUGUUAUAAUUAUGGUUGGUAUAAUUUGUCAUCAUUGUUAGCAUUAUGGAAGCACCAGACGGUUUGUGGAAAGGUGAGAGAAAGUUUUUUUUGUUCUUUUGUUUUUAAUUUGUCUGGCUGUUGGUGGUCUGAUCUCACAGAGGCAGGGGAGGAAUGGUUCAGAAAGAGACAAAGAUGGCAGUCAUGUUUGUACUGGUUGGGAAAUGACUUACAGUGCUGAAAUAAAAUUUAUUCUUUUAGUAAAAAAAAGUAUUUCCUGUGUCCUGUGUCUUCAUUCAUUGAAUUUUUGAGGGAUUUUAAUAGCAAAACUUGCACCAAUGUAAUGUCUGUGAUGUAGAGGGAUUUUAAAAAGAAAAAAAAAAACACUGAUGAUUCACUGGAGGAAACAAAAAGUCCACUUUGGAUAACCUGUAAAGCAGGGGUGGGGAACUCCAGGCCUCAAGGUCCGGUGUUCUGCAGUUUUAGAUAUCAUCCAGGGUCAACAUACCAGAAUCAAAUGAUUAGUUCAUUACCAGCCCUCUGGAGUACUUCAAGAUAUGGUGAGUAGGGUAAUGUAGCCAUCUGAAUCACUGACACAUCUAAAACCUGCAGGACACAAUUUUCUCAGUACUCGCAGAUGUGUGUUAAGGCUUUGAAAUUUAAGUUUCAAAAUCUUCACGAUCAGUAGAUGCGCUCUUCUUGGUGUGUUACUACUUCAGUCUUUUCCCAAUGAUUUAAUAAGAAAUGACCCAGGUGUACAUUCUUUAAAUAAAGAAGUAAAAAGCACCUCUGCUGAAGAUGUAUGUAAAAUCGGAGUCAAUCUAUCGAGUGACUCCACUUCCUUUAACUCCCGUUAUGUAGAAAUUGGCUGCAAUUCACAUUGGAGAGCGGCAGGGGGCGCUCAUGAUAGAACUAAGCGCUUAAAAUUAUUAUUUACACUGUCUUCUAGACAUAAAUUUUUAAUUUAAUUUUCUAGCAUUCUGCUAAUUUAUGCUUAACAGUGACUUUCAGACUGGAACUUCAUAAAAAAACGACUCCACUAAAUCUAUCAUGAAGUUUACCCCCCCAAAUUUUCAUAUUAUUGGCGCCCACUCUGAAGUAAGAAGUCCUGAAAGUGGGAAAUCUUGAUAUUUUAUAAGCUCAGGGAUUAUAUACACGUUAAAAAAAAUAAUAAUAAAAAAUCCCGGCACGACACAUGAAUCUCGCGAUAUUUGUGCGUAUCAGCAGCUGGCUGCAAACCGCUCCGCUCGGAAAGAUGGCGACGAUGAUAUGGGGGGGCCACCCAGGCUACAGGGAGGCUUCUGAGGUUUGUCCUGGGAGAUGCCUACCUAUCCUCAAGAACAAAGAGCUUCUGGGAAGAAGGCUGCAGGAUUUUCUGAAGACCAGUCAUCUGUCCUGUUUCCAAGAGUGCAGGGCCAUGUUUAUUAUGCUCAUAUAAAGUUAAUAUAUGACCGGGGUGGACUGAGGGAGAAAGUGGGAGCUGUGGAAUGAGGUAGUAGUUUGUAUAGUUUUAGGAUCACACCAGAUCUGGGAGAUAACUAUACAGCCUACUGUCUUUCUCACGGCAACCGAAACCAUCCCCUCCAUCGUCUUACCUCCUCAGGUUUUUGGUCAUAAAUUUGUUCCAGUGUUGUAACUUUCUACUGGUCUUUUUUUAAGAAUAUUUAAUCAUUUUUCUAUUAUUUUUGGAUUAUAGAUCCUUGCUUAGGUUAUCUGUGGAAAUGUGAUCAGAUUUUCCAAAGUGCCUGCAGCACACGUGGUGGUUUCAGUGUCGCAUGUUUUCAAAGACAAGGAAUUUAUUUUGAAUUCCUAUAUAGUGCAGGGUUAUAUUAAUCAAUUUUAUGAUUUUGAACAAAUCUAUACAGAUGCAGCAAAAAAUAUAGGCAAUCAAGUGGGUGUGGCAUUCAAUUUUCCAGAAUUGAAGAUAAAGGUUGGAAAAAGGCUCAAUAAUGGACUUUCAGUGUGCACAGGGGAAAUGUUGGCAUUGUUGUUAGCUGUUCAGUGGGUGGAGGAUAACAAGCCAUUAUGGACAAUAAUCUGUUCCCUCUAGUUCAUCAUUGACCAGCUUGGAUAAGUCAUUCAGAUGCCAGACCAGACAUUUUAAUUGAGAUUUUACAGACAAUCUACAGAAUAAAUAUGAUGGGACUGAUAGUUAAAUUCGUAUGGAUACCAGCACAUUAUGGUGUUAUUGGCAAUGAGGUGGCAGAUAAAAUUGCAAAGCAGGCUGCUAAAGGAGAUCAAGUUGAUUUAAAUGUCAGUAUUAGCAAAGCUGAAAUGAAGAGCAUGGUAAAACA